RNAcentral lists this unclassified non-coding RNA (1563 nucleotides) under uncultured fungus. Its description in RNAcentral is "sequence contains 18S rRNA gene, ITS1, 5.8S rRNA gene, ITS2, 28S rRNA gene". The stretch from base 525 to 1563 matches the Rfam family "Eukaryotic large subunit ribosomal RNA", at positions 1 to 961 of the family's 3401-position model. The record is from RNAcentral. Lineage: Eukaryota; Fungi.
GGAAGGAUCAUUAACAAAUCUGCGCAGAGCCGUAAGGCCUGCACAUCCACUCCGGGCGUGCCUUGGUGCGCCUGGUGUACGUAGUGCGCUGUGGUCUUGGCCAUGGCGAGCUACACAUCAUAAACUCGUAUGUUUGUAUGACUGUAUGUUGGAUCACUAAAUAAACAACUUUUAACAAUGGAUCUCUUGGCUCUUGCAACGAUGAAGAACGCAGUGAAAUGCGAAAAUUAAUGCGAUUUGCAUGAAUCUGUGAGUCAUCAAGUUUUUGAACGCACCUUGCACUCUCUGCGUAAGUAGAGAGUAUACCUGUUUGAGAAUCGUAACUAUCUCUCAACUCGGUCGAGUUGGAUUUGGCCUCAGCGCUGCUUUACUUUUGUACUGUACGCUUUGGUUGAAAUGUAGCAGGACCUGGCUAGGCAGGGCGCCUAGACAUUGUGUGAUAGAGACACAGUUGCUGUCUACUCACAAUGCGUCUAGGCGAGAAACCGGCCUAGUGCUGUUCUUAAACUACUACUACUAUUCUUUGAUCUCAAAUCAGGUAAGGCUACCCGCUGAACUUAAGCAUAUCAGUAAGCGGAGGAAAAGAAACUAACAAGGAUUCCCCUAGUAACGGCGAGUGAAGCGGGAAGAGCUCAAAUUUAAAAUCUGGGAGGUUUCCUCUCCGAAUUGUAAUCUAAAGAGGCGCUAUCUGGACUGGCGCUGGUGUUCAAGUCCCUUGGAAUAGGGCAUCACAGAGGGUGAGAAUCCCGUCUGGGCACUGGAGUCAGGACUAUAUGAGGCGCUUUCUACGAGUCGAGUUGUUUGGGAAUGCAGCUCAAAAUGGGAGGUAAACUUCUUCUAAGGCUAAAUAAUGGCAAGAGACCGAUAGCGAACAAGUACCGUGAGGGAAAGAUGAAAAGCACCUUGAAAAGGGAGUUAAAUAGUACGUGAAAUUGUUAAAAGGGAAACGAUUGAGACCAGUAUUGCAGUUGCAGUUUGGUAGUACCUUUGCGGGUGCUGCUUACUCUGCAGUUUGCGAGUCAACAUCAGUUUGGCCUGCCGGAAAAUCGUUAGAGGAAGGUGACGUCGGUCUUCGGGCUGGCGUUUUAUAGACUCUGACAGACACGGUGGGCUGGACUGAGGUAAGCAGUUUGGCUCCCCGUCUGUUGAACCAGAAUCCCAAGGAAUAGGACAGCACGCUGACUUGUUCUGCAAGAGUCUGACUAGACGGACGCGCCGAAUAUGUGGAUGUUGACGAAAUGGUCUUAAACGACCCGUCUUGAAACACGGACCAAGGAGUCUAACAUGUAUGCGAGUAUUUGGGUGGCAAACCCGAGUGCGUAAUGAAAGUGAUCAGAUGGGAACCGUGACAGCGGUGCACCAUCGGCCGACCUUGAUAUCUCUUGAUAGGUUUGAGUAAGAGCAUAUCUGUUGGGACCCGAAAGGUGGUGAACUAUGCCUGGAUAGGAUGAAGCCAGAGGAAACUCUGGUGGAGGUCCGUAGCCGUUCUGACGUGCAAAUCGAUGGUCAAAUCUGGGUAUAGGGGCGAAAGACUAAUCGAACCACCUAGUAGCUGGUUCCCUC